This 77-nucleotide transfer RNA is filed under the name Alphaproteobacteria bacterium. RNAcentral describes it as "tRNA-Pro". It matches the Rfam family "tRNA". Rfam says of the family: Transfer RNA (tRNA) molecules are approximately 80 nucleotides in length. Lineage: Bacteria; Pseudomonadati; Pseudomonadota; Alphaproteobacteria. The record is from RNAcentral.
CGGAGAGUAGCUCAGCCUGGUAGAGCACUACGUUCGGGACGUAGGGGUCGUGGGUCCGAAUCCCGUCUCUCCGACCA